Nicotiana tabacum (common tobacco) is the source of this 701-nucleotide long non-coding RNA. RefSeq lists it as uncharacterized. The record is from RefSeq and is a predicted model, not a curated record. Lineage: Eukaryota; Viridiplantae; Streptophyta; Magnoliopsida; Solanales; Solanaceae.
AAGAGUCCGUAGAAAAUAUAAAAGAAUUCUCAUCUAUAUCCAAGUCUUGAAUAACCUAUCCUUGAAACAAAAAAUCAACUCCACAAAAUACAGUUCCUUCCGCCACCAAACAGUCAAAACCCCGCUCCAAAAUCAAUUUAUUUUCUUAUUUAAAACUGCUACGAACCAGCCUUUUAAAAGUAGAACAAAUGAAUCUUUCAUCUCUUCUCAUGUUUUUAGUUUGAAGUAGUCAGAGAUCUGACUUGAGAGUACGCCGUUUGAGGUCUACUGGCGACGGGUUUGUGUUCAACUACGACACUGCUUUCAUGUUGUAAACCAGUUGGAAAAUCUUUAUAUAUUGAAAGGUUUCAAAUUUUACAGAUUAAGGUGCAGUGAGCUGAGUUUAGCAUUGUUGGACAGAUUUCUAUAAGGUGCAGAUAGACAGGCUGACGGUCCCCCUUCUUAGGAUCCUUGCUCAGUAAGAGUUGGUGUGCUCCAUUUGAUCUGGAGCUGCUAUUAGGUUUAGGUACGAUAUUUUUGUAUACAUAUAUGGGUAUGACGGGACCUAGUCCUAUCCUUUAUAUAGUUGCACACUCUAUUAGAGGUUUGUAGACAAUCAUGUAUAGUUGGAUAGUGUGUGGCCUUGUCCGCUUCUAUUUUGAUGUAUAGUUGUCCAUAGCAGCCUUGUCGGCUCGCCCUGCCUAUUACACUAUAUAUAUGUA